This 29-nucleotide non-coding RNA is filed under the name Mus musculus (house mouse). The record is from RNAcentral. Lineage: Eukaryota; Metazoa; Chordata; Mammalia; Rodentia; Muridae.
UAGUUGAUUUGUCCUGACGCCCUAACUGU